This 77-nucleotide transfer RNA is filed under the name Streptomyces hygroscopicus subsp. jinggangensis TL01. RNAcentral's name for it is "tRNA-Pro". Lineage: Bacteria; Bacillati; Actinomycetota; Actinomycetes; Kitasatosporales; Streptomycetaceae. The record is from RNAcentral.
CCACCGGCUCGUGACGUCCGGCUCAGUGACGUCGUGAUGAUCGCCUUUUGGGGCGCUGACCGGCUGCGGUUACUAUG